Small nuclear RNA from Otolemur garnettii (small-eared galago), 107 nucleotides. The record is from Ensembl. NCBI's taxonomy places the organism in Eukaryota, Metazoa, Chordata, Mammalia, Primates, Galagidae.
GUGCUUGCUUUGGCAGCACAUAUACUAAAAUUGGAAUGAUAGAGAGAAAAUUAGCUUGGCCCCUGUGCAAGGAUGACAUGCAAAUUAAUGAAGUGUUCCAAAUUAAA